This 465-nucleotide ribosomal RNA is filed under the name Vreelandella stevensii. RNAcentral's name for it is "partial 16S ribosomal RNA". It matches the Rfam family "Bacterial small subunit ribosomal RNA", at positions 338 to 795 of the family's 1533-position model. The record is from RNAcentral. Lineage: Bacteria; Pseudomonadati; Pseudomonadota; Gammaproteobacteria; Oceanospirillales; Halomonadaceae.
CCUACGGGGGGCUGCAGUGGGGAAUAUUGGACAAUGGGGGCAACCCUGAUCCAGCCAUGCCGCGUGUGUGAAGAAGGCCCUCGGGUUGUAAAGCACUUUCAGUGAGGAAGAACGCCUGGUGGUUAAUACCCAUCAGGAAAGACAUCACUCACAGAAGAAGCACCGGCUAACUCCGUGCCAGCAGCCGCGGUAAUACGGAGGGUGCGAGCGUUAAUCGGAAUUACUGGGCGUAAAGCGCGCGUAGGUGGCUUGAUAAGCCGGUUGUGAAAGCCCCGGGCUCAACCUGGGAACGGCAUCCGGAACUGUCAAGCUAGAGUGCAGGAGAGGAAGGUAGAAUUCCCGGUGUAGCGGUGAAAUGCGUAGAGAUCGGGAGGAAUACCAGUGGCGAAGGCGGCCUUCUGGACUGACACUGACACUGAGGUGCGAAAGCGUGGGUAGCAAACAGGAUUAGAUAUCCCUGUAGUC